CCUGCGGGGGGCAGCAGUGAGGAAUAUUGGUCAAUGGGCGAGAGCCUGAACCAGCCAAGUCGCGUGAAGGAUGACGGCCCUACGGGUUGUAAACUUCUUUUGUCAGGGAGCAAUUGAGUCCACGUGUGGGCUUAGCGAGAGUACCUGAAGAAAAAGCAUCGGCUAACUCCGUGCCAGCAGCCGCGGUAAUACGGAGGUGGCAAGCGUUGUCCGGAUUUACUGGGUGUAAAGGGCGUGUAGCCGGGUUGACAAGUCAGAUGUGAAAUCCUGCGGCUUAACCGCAGAACUGCAUUUGAAACUGUUGAUCUUGAGUACUGGAGAGGCAGACGGAAUUCCUAGUGUAGCGGUGAAAUGCGUAGAUAUUAGGAGGAACACCAGUGGCGAAGGCGGUCUGCUGGACAGCAACUGACGGUGAGGCGCGAAAGCGUGGGGAGCAAACAGGAUUAGAUACCCUUGUAGUC
RNAcentral lists this ribosomal RNA (461 nucleotides) under uncultured bacterium. RNAcentral's name for it is "partial 16S ribosomal RNA". It matches the Rfam family "Bacterial small subunit ribosomal RNA", at positions 338 to 795 of the family's 1533-position model. The record is from RNAcentral.